RNAcentral lists this ribosomal RNA (429 nucleotides) under Bacillota bacterium. RNAcentral describes it as "Firmicutes bacterium partial 16S ribosomal RNA". It matches the Rfam family "Bacterial small subunit ribosomal RNA", at positions 355 to 776 of the family's 1533-position model. Lineage: Bacteria; Bacillati; Bacillota. The record is from RNAcentral.
UAGGGAAUCUUCGGCAAUGGACGGAAGUCUGACCGAGCAACGCCGCGUGAGUGAAGAAGGUUUUCGGAUCGUAAAGCUCUGUUGUUAGAGAAGAACGUUGGUAGGAGUGGAAAAUCUACCAAGUGACGGUAACUAACCAGAAAGGGACGGCUAACUACGUGCCAGCAGCCGCGGUAAUACGUAGGUCCCGAGCGUUGUCCGGACUUAUUGGGCGUAAAGCGAGCGCAGGCGGUUCGUUAAGUCUGAAGUUAAAGGCAGUGGCUUGACCAUUGUACGCUUUGGAAACUGGAGGACUUGGGUGCAGAAGGGGAGAGUGGAAUUCCAGGUGUAGCGGUGAAAAGCGUAGAUAAAUGGAGGAACACCGGUGGCGAAAGCGGCUCUCUGAUCUGUAACGGACGAUGAGGCUCGAAAGCGUGGGGAGCAAACAGG